RNAcentral lists this ribosomal RNA (488 nucleotides) under uncultured bacterium. RNAcentral describes it as "SSU rRNA". It matches the Rfam family "Bacterial small subunit ribosomal RNA", at positions 26 to 518 of the family's 1533-position model. The record is from RNAcentral.
AGGACGAACGCUGGCGGCGUGCCUAACACAUGCAAGUCGAACGAGGUCCAACCGGUGGCAACACUGGUGAAGACCUAGUGGCGAACGGGUGAGUAUCACGUGAGUAACCUGCCCCGAAGACUGGGAUAAACACCGGGAAACCGGUGCUAAUACCGGAUGUCCCCACCGAAUCGCAUGGUUUGGUGAGGAAAUGGAUUCCGCUUUGGGGAGGACUCGCGGCCUAUCAGCUUGUUGGUGGUGUAACGGACCACCAAGGCUUCGACGGGUAGCUGGUCUGAGAGGACGAUCAGCCACACUGGGACUGAGACACGGCCCAGACUCCUACGGGAGGCAGCAGUGGGGAAUCUUGCGCAAUGGGCGAAAGCCUGACGCAGCAACGCCGCGUGAGGGAUGAAGGCCUUCGGGUUGUAAACCUCUUUCAGCAGGGACGAAGCGAAAGUGACGGUACCUGCAGAAGAAGCACCGGCUAACUACGUGCCAGCAGCCGC